AUUAUUAUAUAUCCAUAAUAACCACAUAAUAACAUAUAAUCAUUAUUUUAAGAAACUGAUAACGAUUACUAGUGAAAAUAUCAUUAUCAUUUCUUAGAUUAAUCCCAGUUUAUAAUUAUCUAUAGGGUUAUUCCAUAUCAACUGACUUUGGGUCCCUGCUUGAUCCUCUUCAAUUUUGCUGAAACUUUAUGAAUAUGCAUAGAAAAUUUCAGAGGAAGCUGAAUAAAAAUUUCAGUUUAAGAAAUGGUGUGGUUGAGGCAUUGGAGGCUUUCUUGUGGAGGUCAUCUAAGAAAAGGAGUUCAAUCACAAAUAAUUUUCAAACUUUCAAAUAUGACUGUUGCAUAACCAUAACAGAUAGCAUUUUGAACCUUUAUAAGCUUAUUCAGUUUGUAUGCUAAAUCCAAAAAUUUUAUCAUCAAAGGUUGUUGGUCAUAUUUGACCAAUGUUUGAAAGCAGAUAUUUGUGUUAGACACUUCGAAUUUAAUUUUUUCUGUUAUUAUUAGAAAGAGCAGAUUUUGAACUAUAAAAAUAAUGAUUUUCCAAUUUUUUAUCUUAAAAUUCUCCAAAAUUAAGCUACUUGACAUGAUCCCAUAUGGUAUUUAAAAAUCCCUUGAAUUCCUGAUUUAGUCCAAAGUUUUGAUAAUGAUAAUAGCACUAAUUCUUUGAUCAAC
Molecule: long non-coding RNA, 671 nt
Filed under: Androctonus crassicauda
Lineage: Eukaryota; Metazoa; Arthropoda; Arachnida; Scorpiones; Buthidae
Source: RNAcentral